This 772-nucleotide long non-coding RNA is filed under the name Homo sapiens (human). RNAcentral's name for it is "non-protein coding LINC02369:19". Lineage: Eukaryota; Metazoa; Chordata; Mammalia; Primates; Hominidae. The record is from RNAcentral.
CUUUCUGCUUCCUGGAAUCCAGGCUGGCUUGGUGACUUGCCGACCACAGAACGCUGUGGAAGGGACAUUCUGGGGCUUCCCAUCUCCAACAUAAGAAGGCAGGACUUGCUUCUGUGAGGUACUGAGCCACCCGUCCCUGGAGGAAAGCAAGAACAGAGCAGAUCAGAGCCCAGGCAGACAUCUUGGAUGAUGGGGUACAUCUUGCCAUCCAGAGGCAAUGCUGGAGCGGGCAGUUGUCUGCGGGGAGGCCCUGGCUCACUCUGGGCCAAAUAACAGGACUGAUUGCAGCCUGCGAUGAAACAUCCUGUUUCUCCCAACCAGAAACAGGUAGAGGAGCUGCUUUAGGAUGGAAGAUGAGGCUUGCUUUUUCUUUCUCCUAGAAGUCAGCAUUUUACAUGAUUCUGGGAGGGAAGAAAGGAGACAGGAACCAAGGAGCCUGAGUGGGGAUUUGCCCACCACUGGGCAGCCAGGCUCCCGUCAGGAAGGCUUUUCAGAGGGAGUGUUGGAAGGAGUCGUCGAGGAGUCUUCCUCACCCAGGAAGUCUUCCUCACCGGGUGAGCCCCAACCUGCUGGACCUGCUCAGAAUUUGCCCAACAGGGGAUCCUGGUUGACUGAGGUCUGCUAAUUCCAACUGGCCUACGCUAAAUUCUCCCAGAAUGUCUUCAUCAUCAAUGAAUCGCUUUCCACUGACACGACGCCUGGAAGAACAUAAACACUGUGAGGAUAAAUGCCAAUGAAAUAAUAAUAAAAUAAACUUUCUUUGGUGGCCAGA